Molecule: ribosomal RNA, 492 nt
Filed under: uncultured bacterium
Lineage: Bacteria
Description: partial 16S ribosomal RNA
Rfam family: Bacterial small subunit ribosomal RNA
Source: RNAcentral
GAUGAACGCUAGCUACAGGCUUAACACAUGCAAGUCGAGGGGAAACGGCAUCGAAAGCUUGCUUUUGAUGGGCGUCGACCGGCGCACGGGUGAGUAACGCGUAUCCAACCUGCCCAUCACUUGGGAAUAACCUUGCGAAAGUAAGACUAAUGCCCAAUGACAUCCCACGAAGGCAUCCGAAUGGGAUUAAAGAUUUAUCGGUGAUGGAUGGGGAUGCGUCUGAUUAGCUUGUUGGCGGGGUGACGGCCCACCAAGGCAACGAUCAGUAGGGGUUCUGAGAGAAAGGUCCCCCACAAUGGAACUGAGACACGGUCCAAACUGCUACGGGAGGCAGCAGUGAGGAAUAUUGGUCAAUGGGCGAGAGCCUGAACCAGCCAAGUAGCGUGCAGGAGGACGGCCCUAUGGGUUGUAAACUGCUUUUAUAAGGGAAUAAAGUGGGUCACGUGUGACUUUUUGCAUGUACCUUAUGAAUAAGGACCGGCUAAUUCCGUG